This 511-nucleotide long non-coding RNA is filed under the name Solanum tuberosum (potato). RNAcentral describes it as "long non-coding RNA (STUB_LNC001899)". Lineage: Eukaryota; Viridiplantae; Streptophyta; Magnoliopsida; Solanales; Solanaceae. The record is from RNAcentral.
UUUGGGUUUCUUAAUGUUUAGUGUUUAGGCAUAAGAUUUAGGGUUUAGAGUUUAUUCCCUAAGGUAUAGGGUUUCUUAGGGUUUAUGAUUUAUCGUUUAGGGUUUCUUAGGGUUUAGGGGGGUUUAGGAUUAUUUUUUUAGGGUUUAUGGGUUUGUUUAGUGUUUUGUAGAUUUAGGGUUAUUUAUAAUUAGGGGUUUUAAAGGUUUUCUAGGGUUUCUUAGGGUUUUGGAUUUCUUAAGGUUUAGGGUUUUUUAGGAUUUAGGGAAUAUGAUUUUAUGUUUAGGGUUUUUUCUAAGGUUUAGGGUUUUAAAGGGUUUCUUAGGGUUCUUAGGAUAUUUUAGGUUUCAGGUUUUUAAAGGUUUAUAGAGUUUUUUUAGGGUUUAGGUUUUCUUAGGGUUUAGGGUUUCUUAAUGUUUCAUAAGGCUUGGGGUUUAGGGUUUAUCCCUAAGGUUUAGGGUUACUUAAGGUAUAGGGUUUAGCGUUCCUUAGGGUUUGGAGUUUUAGUUUUAG